RNAcentral lists this ribosomal RNA (491 nucleotides) under uncultured bacterium. RNAcentral's name for it is "partial 16S ribosomal RNA". It matches the Rfam family "Bacterial small subunit ribosomal RNA", at positions 29 to 506 of the family's 1533-position model. The record is from RNAcentral.
AGUGAACGCUGGCGGUAGGCCUAACACAUGCAAGUCGAACGGCAGCACAGUAAGAGCUUGCUCUUACGGGUGGCGAGUGGCGGACGGGUGAGGAAUACAUCGGAAUCUACUUUUUCGUGGGGGAUAACGUAGGGAAACUUACGCUAAUACCGCAUACGACCUACGGGUGAAAGCAGGGGAUCUUCGGACCUUGCGCGAUUGAAUGAGCCGAUGUCGGAUUAGCUAGUUGGCGGGGUAAAGGCCCACCAAGGCGACGAUCCGUAGCUGGUCUGUGGGGAUGAACAGCCUCACUGAAAAUGAGAUACGGUCCAGACACCUACGGGAGGCAGCAGUGGGGAAUAUUAGACAAUGGGCGCAAGCCUGAUCCAGCCAUACCGCGUGGGUGAAGAAGGCCUUCGGGUUGUAAAGCCCUUUUGUUGGGAAAGAAAAGAAGCAGGUUAAUACCCCGCUGUUCUGACGGUACCCAAAGAAUAAGCACCGGCUAACUUCGU